Hemicordylus capensis (graceful crag lizard) is the source of this 216-nucleotide long non-coding RNA. RefSeq lists it as uncharacterized. The record is from RefSeq and is a predicted model, not a curated record. The transcript has 2 exons. NCBI's taxonomy places the organism in Eukaryota, Metazoa, Chordata, Lepidosauria, Squamata, Cordylidae.
CCCCAGGUGUAUUAGUCUAAACACCGUGGUAAGAUAAGGCUGGUAACAGAAUGUAAGCAUACAUUGCUUAUACUUAAAAUGGUUUAUCUGAAGAAGUAACAAUUAGUUAUGAAACAGAUUAAUAUCCUGAAAAUCUGUAAUAUUGCAUAUCGUUCGCUGUACUGCACAUGGAUUUGGCUUUGAAAGCGUAAGAUUAAAUUAUGCAGAUUGUCUCCA